Molecule: ribosomal RNA, 253 nt
Filed under: uncultured bacterium
Lineage: Bacteria
Description: partial 16S ribosomal RNA
Rfam family: Bacterial small subunit ribosomal RNA
Source: RNAcentral
UACGAAGGGAGCUAGCGUUGUUCGGAAUUACUGGGCGUAAAGGGCGCGUAGGCGGCUUGGCAAGUUGAAUGAGAAAGCCCGGGGCUCAACCCCGGAAUUGCAUUCAAGACUGCCUUGCUUGAAUUCGGUAGAGGUGAGUGGAAUUCCCAGUGUAGAGGUGAAAUUCGUAGAGAUUGGGAGGAACACCCGUGGCGAAGGCGGCUCACUGGACCGACAUUGACGCUGAGGCGCGAAAGCGUGGGGAUCAAACAGG